Caenorhabditis elegans is the source of this 137-nucleotide non-coding RNA. The record is from Ensembl. Lineage: Eukaryota; Metazoa; Nematoda; Chromadorea; Rhabditida; Rhabditidae.
UGAUAUAGAAACUUGUUUCGCAUCUUCCUACAUUUCCGUUGGUCAACCAGAUGUGUCCACUUGUGCCAACAAGAUGUCAAUUUGUCAAUCAGUACCUACACUUGAUCACAGGAGGAAAACACGAAAUCUAGAAGUGA